Non-coding RNA from Xyrichtys novacula (pearly razorfish), 243 nucleotides. NCBI's taxonomy places the organism in Eukaryota, Metazoa, Chordata, Actinopteri, Labriformes, Labridae. The record is from the annotation of a GenBank genome assembly.
CCAUUGCACCAGCAUUUGUGGCUGCGGCAGCAGUUGACGCCCCUCCUGCAGCAGUUGAUGCCCCUGCAGCAGUUGUCAUCCCUGCAGCAGUGGUUGCCGCAGCAGGAUUUGUGGCUGCGGCAGCAGUUGACGCCCCUGCACCAGCAUUUGUGGCUGCAGCAGCAGUUGAUCCCAUUGCACCAGCAUUUGUGGCUGCGGCAGCAGUUGACGCCCCUGCACCAGCAUUUGUGGCUGCGGCAGCAG